GCCAGCCUCUCCUUUGUCUUCUUCUCUUAAGAGUUUCACCAGUGCCCUAUUUUUGCACCAACUUCAAAUGUGCUCAAAUGGUUGACUGGUGAACUUUCGGGAUGUCUCGGUCCGUACGGAUCCGUACGGUCCGUACAGCCAGUCCCUAAGUUUGCACACUCGCCCAAAUACUCUUCUAAGUCCCUCCUGGACUUGGCCCUAUCUUUGCACCACACUUCCAUCUUCUCUCUAACUCCUCCAAAGCCCUCACAUGAUCAGUCUAAG
This 264-nucleotide long non-coding RNA is filed under the name Brassica rapa (field mustard). Its description in RNAcentral is "long non-coding RNA (BRAP_LNC008738)". The record is from RNAcentral. Lineage: Eukaryota; Viridiplantae; Streptophyta; Magnoliopsida; Brassicales; Brassicaceae.